GAAACGACUGCUAAGACUGGAUAGGAAAUAAAAAGGCAUCUUUUUGUUUUUAAAAGACCUUCUUCGGAGGGUAUGCUUAAAGAGGGGCUUGCGCCACAUUAGUUAGUUGGUGAGGUAAAGGCUUACCAAGAUUAUGAUGUGUAGCUGGACUGAGAGGUUGAACAGCCACAUUGGGACUGAGACACGGCCCAAACUCCUACGGGAGGCAGCAGUAGGGAAUUUUCGGCAAUGGGAGGAAACUCUGACCCGAGCGACGCCGCGUGAAACGAUGAAGUAUUUCGGUAUGUAAAGUUCUUUUAUUGAAGAAGAAAAAAAUAGUGGAAAAACUAUCUUGACGUUAUUCAAUGAAUAAGCCCCGGCUAAACUAUGUGCCAGCAGCCGCGGUAAGACAUAGGGGGCGAGCGUUAUCCGGAAUUAUUGGGCGUAAAGGGUGCGUAGGCGGUUAGAUAAGUCUAUAAUUUAAUUUCAGUGCUUAACGCUGUCUUGUUAUAGAAACUGUCUUGACUAGAGUGAGAUAGAGGCAAGCGGAAUUCCAUGUGUAGCGGUAAAAUGUGUAAAUAUAUGGAGGAACACCAGAAGCGUAGGCGGCUUGCUGGGUCUUUACUGACGCUGAGGCACGAAAGCGUGGGGAGCAAACAGGAUUAGAUACCCUGGUAGUCCACGCUGUAAACGAUGAGUACUAAGUGUCGGGGCAACUCGGUACUGAAGUUAACACAUUAAGUACUCCGCCUGAGUAGUACGUACGCAAGUAUGAAACUUAAAGGAAUUGACGGGACUCCGCACAAGCGGUGGAUCAUGUUGUUUAAUUCGAAGAUACACGAAAAACCUUACCAGGUCUUGACAUACUCUGCGAAGCUAUAGAAAUAUAGUGGAGGUUAUCAGGGAUACAGGUGGUGCAUGGUUGUCGUCAGUUCGUGUCGUGAGAUGUUAGGUUAAGUCCUAAAACGAACGCAACCUCUGUCGUUAGUUACCAGCACGUAAUGGUGGGGACUUUAGCGAGACUGCCAAUUAAACAUUGGAGGAAGGUGGGGAUAACGUCAAAUCAUCAUGCCCCUUAUGAUCUGGGCUACAAACGUGAUACAUGGCUGUUACAAAGAGUAGCUGAAACGCGAGUUUUUAGCCAAUCUCAAAAAGACAGUCUUAGUCCGGAUUGAAGUCUGCAACUCGACUUCAUGAAGCUGGAAUCGCUAGUAAUCGCGAAUCAGCAUGUCGCGGUGAAUACGUUCUCGGGGUUUGUAC
Molecule: ribosomal RNA, 1239 nt
Filed under: 'Salix alba' phytoplasma
Lineage: Bacteria; Bacillati; Mycoplasmatota; Mollicutes; Acholeplasmatales; Acholeplasmataceae
Description: bacterial SSU rRNA
Rfam family: Bacterial small subunit ribosomal RNA
Source: RNAcentral